This 429-nucleotide ribosomal RNA is filed under the name Fusobacteriota bacterium. RNAcentral describes it as "Fusobacteria bacterium partial 16S ribosomal RNA". It matches the Rfam family "Bacterial small subunit ribosomal RNA", at positions 355 to 776 of the family's 1533-position model. Lineage: Bacteria; Fusobacteriati; Fusobacteriota. The record is from RNAcentral.
UGGGGAAUAUUGCGCAAUGGGCGAAAGCCUGACGCAGCGACGCCGCGUGAGGGAUUAAGGUUUUCGGAUCGUAAACCUCUGUCAGAAGGGAAGAAACCGCACUGUGCUAAUCAGCAGUGCCUUGACGGUACCUUCAAAGGAAGCACCGGCUAACUCCGUGCCAGCAGCCGCGGUAAUACGGAGGGUGCAAGCGUUAAUCGGAAUUACUGGGCGUAAAGCGCACGUAGGCUGCUUUGUAAGUCAGGGGUGAAAUCCCACGGCUCAACCGUGGAACUGCCUUUGAUACUGCUUAGCUUGAAUCCGUGAGAGGGUGGCGGAAUUCCAGGUGUAGGCGUCAAAUCCGUAGAUAUCUGGAGGAAAAGCAGUGGCGAAGGCGGCCACCUGGACCGGUAUUGACGCUGAGGUGCGAAAGCGUGGGGAGCAAACAGG